This 1863-nucleotide ribosomal RNA is filed under the name Triticum aestivum (bread wheat). Its description in RNAcentral is "partial small subunit ribosomal RNA". The record is from RNAcentral. Lineage: Eukaryota; Viridiplantae; Streptophyta; Magnoliopsida; Poales; Poaceae.
AUGGCUCACUACCUGCCGCUGGCGAGGAGCCGCUUCCCUGGGGAGCUGCUCACCCACGGGGACCCAGAUCUGAGGCCGGAGCGGGGCGGGGGCAUUAUCUCCCGCUCACCAGGCAUGGACGCUUUGGAGGCGGAUUACGGCAACCAUGCCCUGCUGGCUACGGUCCGGGGCAGGCGGCCCACGGUCUCGCCAGAGGCACUGGUGCGGGAGCUGGAACGCUGCUGCGGCGUCGAGAGGAGCCGGAUCCGGGUGGAGGUCACGCAUCCGGCCGAUUUCUUCAUCACCUUCGCCACAUCAGAGGAGUGUGACGCGGUCUUCACCCGGUCUGGCCAGAUCCGCUGCGUCGGGGCCCCCAUCGCCUUCCAGCGCUGGCACCGGAGCGCGCAGGCCUCCAGCGGCAAACUACAGUUCUUCUGCAAGUUAGGGAUCGAGGACCUUCCUGCCAGUGCUUGGGAAUGGGGGACUCUUAGUCAGCUCGUCAACAACCUUCAAGGUCAGCUGGUUGAGAUCCUGCCGCCGACCGACCGCUGGCAGCUGGAGGUGACGGCGUGGAUGAAGAACCCGUCCGGCAUUCCCAAGAUUUACGAUCUGGAGGUUCCGGAGCCGGCGGGUCUGCCAAACUCGGUCGACCAAGAAUGGCCGGUUGCCCCACCGCCGCCGGCGCCGCCCUCGGAGUGCAUCACACUUGUGCAUCACCUCACCAUUCAUGUCCUGGAUGUGGUGGACCGCACCGUGCCAUACUUGCAAUUCAGGCCGGACUUCGAGCCGGAGGAGGACGAAGAUCUCACUAGAAGACACGACUACUCCAGAAUCUGCUACUGGGGCUUGAUAGAUGGAAUUGGUGCGGGCAACAUGAUGCGGUCAGGGGGCCAUCCUUUUGCGGGUCCGGGCGGGUUGGGUAUUGCGGGUGAUUGGGGCGGGCGUUCGGCCAACGACCUUCCUACCCAGGGCGGCGGUCUGGAGUUUGGCGCACCAAGGCCGACGGCAACCGCACUGUCCUCUGUUUCACCUUCUUCCAAUGCCACGACGGCGGUUGGAUCUGUGGCCCUUGUGGGGACGCCAGUGGGUAGGUCCCCGGCAUCCAUUGCCGUGGGCUCAGCAGCACUGCAUCGGACACCAGAGUUAGCACCAAGUGGACGGGGAUGUGCGCCAUCACCGCGGAGGCUGUCAUUUAGCCAGGAGGCUCAGGGGGAGGCUGCAGAUGGAUCGACCCAAGCUGACGACGUGUUGGAUGGGGCAGCACAGGCGCCUGUGAUAGAGGAACACAAUAGAGCGCUGCUGGAGGUCGUGGGGGCGACAGGGCCACUCUCAUCAUUGUGCAUCCCGCACAGGCAGGAGGAGGAGGAGCCAUCGGGGCAGGAUUUGCCUCGCACCCCGAUUGUAGUCCCGCUGGGGGAGCACCGGCUAAUACGGCCAAGCGAGGAGGACGCGGCUACGGAAUUCGGCCCCAAAACAGUGGUGACCACGCUACUGAAGGGUGUCGGGGCCACACCCGCGCCAUCAGUCUUGGGACUCAGGCCGGUGGCAUCCAUGCCGGCCAGGCGCAAGAAGAAUCUGCCUCCCAAUUUCACUCCAAGGAGGAGUGCUAGGCUCUGCCAGCAAGAUGAUGGCAUGAAGAAAGGACCAGAGCAGCGUGCCCAGACGGUGCUACUCCAACGCAUGGGCCUGAUCGAGAACAAGGAGCAGAUGACCCAGGAGGCUCUUGAGGCGUACCUCCGGCUUUUCGACAAGCCACUGGCACCCCAACACAUUAGGGCGGUGGCCGCCCUGCUUGAUCCGGAGGGACAUGGGUUCAACGAGCCGGCGCAACUCCAGUUCGGGGCAUUCUUACUUCCCGAGCAGGCGGAGUCCUGCGGCGUCUAG